GAUGAACGCUGGCGGCAGGCUUAACACAUGCAAGUCGAGGGGUAUAGGUUUUCGGACCUAGAGACCGGCGCACGGGUGCGUAACGCGUAUGCAAUCUACCUUGUACAGGGGGAUAGCCCAGAGAAAUUUGGAUUAAUACCCCAUAGUAUUAUAGAAUGGCAUCAUUUAUAAUUAAAGUUCCAACGGUACAAGAUGAGCAUGCGUCCCAUUAGCUAGUUGGUAUGGUAACGGCAUACCAAGGCUACGAUGGGUAGGGGUCCUGAGAGGGAGAUCCCCCACACUGGUACUGAGACACGGACCAGACUCCUACGGGAGGCAGCAGUGAGGAAUAUUGGUCAAUGGACGCAAGUCUGAACCAGCCAUGCCGCGUGCAGGAUGACGGUCCUAUGGAUUGUAAACUGCUUUUGUACAGGAAGAAACACUCCUACGUGUAGGAACUUGACGGUACUGUAAGAAUAAGGAUCGGCUAACUCCGUGCCAGCCGCCGCCGUAA
RNAcentral lists this ribosomal RNA (493 nucleotides) under uncultured bacterium. RNAcentral's name for it is "partial 16S ribosomal RNA". It matches the Rfam family "Bacterial small subunit ribosomal RNA", at positions 28 to 523 of the family's 1533-position model. The record is from RNAcentral.